GCAAAACGCGAAGAACCUUACCUGGUCUUGACAUAGUAAGAACUUUCCAGAGAUGGAUUGGUGCCUUCGGGAACUUACAUACAGGUGCUGCAUGGCUGUCGUCAGCUCGUGUCGUGAGAUGUUGGGUUAAGUCCCGCAACGAGCGCAACCCUUUUCCUUAUUUGCCAGCGGGUUAAGCCGGGAACUUUAAGGAUACUGCCAGUGACAAACUGGAGGAAGGCGGGGACGACGUCAAGUCAUCAUGGCCCUUACGACCAGGGCUACACACGUGCUACAAUGGCCGGUACAAAGGGUUGCUACCUAGCGAUAGGAUGCUAAUCUACAAAAAGCCGAUCGUAGUCCGGAUUGGAGUCUGCAACUCGACUCCCAUGAAGUCGGAAUCGCUAGUAAUCGCGGAUCAGAAUGCCGCGGUGAAUACGUUCCCGGGUCUUGUACACACCG
Molecule: ribosomal RNA, 441 nt
Filed under: uncultured bacterium
Lineage: Bacteria
Description: bacterial SSU rRNA
Rfam family: Bacterial small subunit ribosomal RNA
Source: RNAcentral